This 73-nucleotide transfer RNA is filed under the name Haymondia wallichii. Its description in RNAcentral is "tRNA-Glu". The record is from RNAcentral. Lineage: Eukaryota; Viridiplantae; Streptophyta; Magnoliopsida; Fabales; Fabaceae.
CAUAUAUAUAUGUGUUUUAUUUAUCUGCAUAACAACUCAUCAAAGAACAAAAAUUGGAUUUACCUAGUGAAUA